CAAAACCAACAAUAAUAUCAACUCCCCGCUCCUCCUCUCACAGCACCCUCCUCUAAUUUGACCGUUGCAAAUCUUCUUCCACACACAAAAAGAAAGCAGCAAAACCCCACCAAAACCUCUCCAUUGAAAAGCCCUCUCUCUUUGCUUCAGCAGAGAGAGGUCUUUUCCUUUUCAAUCUCCCUCUUUACCAUAAGCAGAGAAACCAUUACCAUUAAUCCCAUUAGCUCAAAAUUAUCAGAGAAAAUUCCACAAGAAAUGGAUUCGCCACCAAGAAGAAAGAGUGGCCUCAACCUCCCUUCUGGGAUGACCGAAACUUCUCUGCGAUUGGAUACUUUUCCAGGUUCUUGUCGAGCUGUAACGUGUGUAUCGUCACCUCGAGCAUUAUCAAGCCUGUCAUCGCCGUCAAAAUCUUCCACUUGUAGUGAUAGAUUCAUACCUUGUAGAUCAUCUUCGAGGCUCCACACUUUUGGGCUUGUAGAGAAGGGGUCUCCUGUUAAAGAAGGAGGCAAUGAGGCCUACUCAAGGUUGUUGAAAUCUGAGCUUUUUGGAUCUGAUUUUUCUUCUUUUUCUUCUCCUGCAGGUGGUCAAGGGGGCUCUGCUUUGAGCAGCCCUAGCAAGAAUAUGUUGAGGUUUAAGACUGAUCACUCGGGUCCUAAUUCUCCAUUCUCUCCUUCAAUCUUGGGGUUUGAUAAUGGGAUCUCUAGUGAGGCUUCUACGCCUCCUAAGCCACCCCGAAAGGUCCCCAAGACACCUCAUAAGGUUUUAGAUGCCCCAUCACUUCAAGAUGACUUCUAUUUGAAUCUUGUGGAUUGGUCCUCACAGAAUGUACUUGCAGUAGGGUUGGGUACAUGUGUUUAUUUGUGGACUGCAUCAAAUAGCAAAGUGACAAAGUUGUGUGACCUGGGACCUCAUGACAGUGUGUGCUCUGUGCAAUGGACCCGGGAGGGCUCAUACAUAUCCAUUGGCACUUAUCUUGGUCAAGUUCAGGUAUGGGAUGGAACUCAGUGCAAGAAGGUGCGAACCAUGGCCGGCCAUCAAACGAGAACUGGAGUUUUGGCAUGGAAUUCUCGUAUACUGUCAUCAGGAAGCAGAGACCGAAACAUACUUCAGCAUGAUCUUCGUGUUUCAAAUGACUUUGUUAGCAAGCUUGUUGGUCAUAAAUCUGAGGUGUGUGGCUUAAAAUGGUCCCAUGAUGACAGAGAACUUGCUUCAGGUGGAAAUGAUAAUCAGCUCCUGGUAUGGAACCAGCAUUCUCAGCAGCCAAUUUUAAAACUCACUGAGCACACUGCUGCUGUCAAGGCCAUUGCUUGGUCACCCCAUCAGACCGGUCUUCUUGCAUCUGGAGGUGGAACUGCUGAUCGAUGUAUUCGUUUUUGGAACACAACCAAUGGUCAUCAAUUAAACCAUGUUGACACUGGGAGUCAGGUGUGCAAUCUAGCAUGGAGUAAGAAUGUGAAUGAGGUGGUUAGCACUCAUGGCUACUCCCAGAAUCAAAUUAUGGUGUGGAAAUAUCCAUCAAUGACAAAGGUAUUAUUAACCCAAGUUGAAGAUAAAUCCUUGUGUACACAAUCCUUCAAGUUUUGUGAAAAUGUCCAUGCUCAGCAGAUUACCAAUCUGUGUUUUCUUGGCUUGUGAAGGUUGCAACUCUAACUGGCCAUAGCCUGCGAGUACUCUACCUUGCCAUGUCACCCGAUGGUCAGGUAGAUUGUUGUGAAUUUCUAUGUUCAUGUGCAUACCAGAAUAUAUAUCCCUGCAUAGAAGAACUUCUCAAGUCUUGAUUGUUAUGCAGACAAUAGUUACUGGAGCAGGGGAUGAGACCCUACGGUUUUGGAAUAUCUUCCCAUCCGUUAAAACACCGGUAAGCAUAGCAUGAUAGCCUUUUUUUUACUGGUUACAAUAUCCCCAGAAGCUUCCAUUGAAACUGUCUUCCUUGUUUGUGUCUUCAGGCACCAGUCAAAGAUACAGGUCUUUGGUCAUUAGGACGAACUCACAUUCGGUGACAAACCCUAGGCUAACUAACAUCAA
This 2025-nucleotide unclassified non-coding RNA is filed under the name Hevea brasiliensis (rubber tree). Lineage: Eukaryota; Viridiplantae; Streptophyta; Magnoliopsida; Malpighiales; Euphorbiaceae. The record is from RNAcentral.